Long non-coding RNA from Ictalurus punctatus (channel catfish), 452 nucleotides. Lineage: Eukaryota; Metazoa; Chordata; Actinopteri; Siluriformes; Ictaluridae. The record is from Ensembl.
UGGAGAGUGAGAGCGAGAGAGGGAGAGGGGGGAAGGGGGGGGUUGGAGAGGGAGGAGUGGCAGACAGCGAGAGUGAGAGAAGCAGAAAGUAUGCAUGUGUGCGCGUGUGCAUGAGUAAGUGGGCUGUUGCUAUAAAAUUUGCGAGCAGGGGCGCUCAUUGCGUUCGCUGGUGAUCAGGGUGGUGGUUUUUUUUUUCUUUUUUUUUUUUCCUUUUUUUUCCCCUUCUUUUUUCAUUUGUAAUCAAGGCAUGCUUGCACACUCCAAUCACUUCUCUGCACCUCCUCGGCUGCCUUGUGUCUGGAAGCAAUCCAGCUUUCGUCGCUGACAUGGACCGAUCUGUUGGAAAGAAGCAGGAACGAAAGUGUCGAGUUGAAGGUGGUCAUCAUGGAUUCACUGAGUAUAACCCCUAUCCCCAGCAAACCGAAGUGCUGACUGAUCUCAGCAUCCCCACG